Molecule: ribosomal RNA, 400 nt
Filed under: uncultured bacterium
Lineage: Bacteria
Description: bacterial SSU rRNA
Rfam family: Bacterial small subunit ribosomal RNA
Source: RNAcentral
UGGGGAAUUUUCCGCAAUGGGCGCAAGCCUGACGGAGCAAUACCGCGUGAGGGAGGACGGCUUUUGGGUUGUAAACCUCUUUUAUUGGGGAAGAAGAACUGACGGUACCCAAUGAAUCAGCAUCGGCUAACUCCGUGCCAGCAGCCGCGGUAAUACGGAGGAUGCAAGCGUUAUCCGGAAUUAUUGGGCGUAAAGCGUCCGCAGGUGGUUUUACAAGUCUGCUGUCAAAGCAUGGAGCUUAACUCCAUAUCGGCAGUGGAAACUGUGAGACUUGAGUUCAGUAGGGGUUGCGGGAAUUCCCAGUGUAGCGGUGAAAUGCGUAGAUAUUGGGAAGAACACCGGCGGCGAAAGCGCGCGACUGGGCUGAAACUGACACUGAGGGACGAAAGCUAGGGGAGCG